CAGCCGCCGCGGUAAUACGUAGGGUGCAAGCGUUAAUCGGAAUUACUGGGCGUAAAGCGUGCGCAGGCGGUUAUAUAAGACAGAUGUGAAAUCCCCGGGCUCAACCUGGGAACUGCAUUUGUGACUGUAUAGCUAGAGUACGGCAGAGGGGGAUGGAAUUCCGCGUGUAGCAGUGAAAUGCGUAGAUAUGCGGAGGAACACCGAUGGCGAAGGCAAUCCCCUGGGCCUGUACUGACGCUCAUGCACGAAAGCGUGGGAGCAAACAGGAUUAGAGACCCGUGUAGUCCCUGUCUCUUAUACA
RNAcentral lists this ribosomal RNA (301 nucleotides) under uncultured bacterium. RNAcentral describes it as "partial 16S ribosomal RNA". It matches the Rfam family "Bacterial small subunit ribosomal RNA", at positions 509 to 808 of the family's 1533-position model. The record is from RNAcentral.